This 250-nucleotide ribosomal RNA is filed under the name uncultured bacterium. RNAcentral's name for it is "partial 16S ribosomal RNA". It matches the Rfam family "Bacterial small subunit ribosomal RNA", at positions 524 to 773 of the family's 1533-position model. RNAcentral also lists the same sequence under 1 other name. The record is from RNAcentral.
UACGUAGGGCGCAAGCGUUGUCCGGAAUUAUUGGGCGUAAAGAGCUCGUAGGCGGUUUGUCGCGUCUGGUGUGAAAACUCAAGGCUCAACCUUGAGCUUGCAUCGGGUACGGGCAGACUAGAGUGUGGUAGGGGUGACUGGAAUUCCUGGUGUAGCGGUGGAAUGCGCAGAUAUCAGGAGGAACACCGAUGGCGAAGGCAGGUCACUGGGCCACUACUGACGCUGAGGAGCGAAAGCAUGGGGAGCGAAC